CCGCAAGGGAUGAGUAGAGUGGCAAACGGGUGAGUAACGCGUGGGUGACCUGCCUUCGAGCGGGGGAUAACGUUCCGAAAGGGACGCUAAUACCGCGUAAUAUCCUGCCUUUCAAGAGGUGGAGAUCAAAGCUGGGGAUCGCAAGACCUGGCACUCGAAGAGGGGCCCGCGUCCGAUUAGCUAGUUGGUGAGGUAACGGCUCACCAAGGCGACGACCGGUAGCCGGCCUGAGAGGGCGGACGGCCACACUGGGACUGAGACACGGCCCAGACUCCUACGGGAGGCAGCAGUGGGGAAUUGUUCGCAAUGGGCGCAAGCCUGACGACGCAACGCCGCGUGGAGGAUGAAGACCUUCGGGUCGUAAACUCCUUUCGAUCGAGACGAAUGGCCUCCGGGUGAACAAUCCGGAGGAAUGACGGUACCGAGAGAAGAAGCCCCGGCUAACUCCGUGCCAGCAGCCGCGGUAAUACGGGGGGGGCAAGCGUUGUUCGGAAUUACUGGGCGUAAAGGGCUCGUAGGCGGCCAACUAAGUCAGACGUGAAAUCCCUCGGCUUAACCGGGGAACUGCGUCUGAUACUGGAUGGCUUGAGUUUGGGAGAGGGAUGCGGAAUUCCAGGUGUAGCGGUGAAAUGCGUAGAUAUCUGGAGGAACACCGGUGGCGAAGGCGGCAUCCUGGACCAAUACUGACGCUGAGGAGCGAAAGCCAGGGGAGCAAACGGGA
RNAcentral lists this ribosomal RNA (721 nucleotides) under uncultured bacterium. RNAcentral describes it as "bacterial SSU rRNA". It matches the Rfam family "Bacterial small subunit ribosomal RNA", at positions 77 to 777 of the family's 1533-position model. The record is from RNAcentral.